RNAcentral lists this non-coding RNA (30 nucleotides) under Homo sapiens (human). The record is from RNAcentral. Lineage: Eukaryota; Metazoa; Chordata; Mammalia; Primates; Hominidae.
UGUCUGUGACACAGGACGGUGGGAAGCCUU